AGCCGAGCGGUAGAGUCCUUCGGGACUUUGAGAGCGGCGUACGGGUGCGUAACACGUGUGCAACCUACCUUUAUCAGGGGAAUAGCCUUUCGAAAGGAAGAUUAAUACUCCAUAAUAUAUUGAAUGGCAUCAUUUGAUAUUGAAAACUCCGGUGGAUAGAGAUGGGCACGCGCAAGAUUAGAUAGUUGGUGAGGUAACGGCUCACCAAGUCAAUGAUCUUUAGGGGUCCUGAGAGGGAGAUCCCCCACACUGGUACUGAGACACGGACCAGACUCCUACGGGAGGCAGCAGUGAGGAAUAUUGGACAAUGGGUGAGAGCCUGAUCCAGCCAUCCCGCGUGAAGGAUGACGGUCCUAUGGAUUGUAAACUUCUUUUGUAUAGGAAUAAACCUACUCUCGUGAGAGUAGCUGAAGGUACUAUACGAAUAAGCACCGGCUAACUCCGUGCCAGCAGCCGCGGUAAUACGGAGGGUGCAAGCGUUAUCCGGAUUUA
RNAcentral lists this ribosomal RNA (492 nucleotides) under bacterium 03-L049641-122-013-C01. Its description in RNAcentral is "bacterial SSU rRNA". It matches the Rfam family "Bacterial small subunit ribosomal RNA", at positions 60 to 553 of the family's 1533-position model. The record is from RNAcentral.